RNAcentral lists this ribosomal RNA (354 nucleotides) under uncultured bacterium. Its description in RNAcentral is "bacterial SSU rRNA". It matches the Rfam family "Bacterial small subunit ribosomal RNA", at positions 917 to 1290 of the family's 1533-position model. The record is from RNAcentral.
GGACCCGCACAAGUAGUGGAGCAUGUGGUUUAAUUCGAAGAUACGCGCAGAACCUUACCAACACUUGACAUGUUCGUCGCGACUUUAAGAGAUUAAAGUUUUCGGUUCGGCCGGACGAAACACAGGUGCUGCAUGGCUGUCGUCAGCUCGUGUCGUGAGAUGUUGGUUAAGUCCCGCAACGAGCGCAACCCUCACUUUUAGUUGCCAUCACGUUUGGGUGGGCACUCUAGGGAAACUGCCGGUGCUAAGCCGGAGGAAGGCGGGAUGACGUCAAGUCCUCAUGGCCCUUACGGGUAGGGCUACACACGUGCUACAAUGGCAGUGACAAUGGGAUAAUCCCCAAAAGCUGUCUCA